UACGUAGGGGGCAAGCGUUGUCCGGAUUUAUUGGGCGUAAAGAGCGUGUAGGCGGCCAGAUAGGUCCGUUGUGAAAACUCGAGGCUCAACCUCGAGACGCCGAUGAAAACCAUCUGGCUAGAGUCCGGAAGAGGAGAGUGGAAUUCCCGGUGUAGCGGUGAAAUGCGCAGAUAUCGGGAAGAACACCCGUGGCUAAGGCGGCUCUCUAGUACGGUACUGACGCUGAGACGCGAAAGCGUGGGGAGCGAACAGG
This 253-nucleotide ribosomal RNA is filed under the name uncultured bacterium. Its description in RNAcentral is "partial 16S ribosomal RNA". It matches the Rfam family "Bacterial small subunit ribosomal RNA", at positions 524 to 776 of the family's 1533-position model. The record is from RNAcentral.